This 169-nucleotide non-coding RNA is filed under the name Sphingomonadaceae bacterium. RNAcentral's name for it is "6S RNA". It matches the Rfam family "6S / SsrS RNA". From Rfam's summary of the family: E. coli 6S RNA was the first non coding RNA to be sequenced, but its function was unknown until recently. It consists of 184 nucleotides that fold into an extended hairpin structure with a large single-stranded internal bulge. The record is from RNAcentral. Lineage: Bacteria; Pseudomonadati; Pseudomonadota; Alphaproteobacteria; Sphingomonadales; Sphingomonadaceae.
GCGGGACUGCCCGGCACGAGCCGAUUGAAUAUCCCUGAGGCUAUAAGCAUUCCUAGGGAGUUGUCCCUGCUCCGGAACACGGGUUCGUCCUGAGGACCGGGGUAUACGGCGCCCACCUGACGUUUUCGCGUCAGAGGAUUUCCCGGUAACGACCCAUGGUGGUUCCGCC